UUUGGUGAGUUUGUUUGUGUCAAAGUCAGAGAGCCGUGUCUCUCUACAGUGAGAGGUUUUUGUACGGCGGCUCAAUGACUUUGUAUCACUGUGGUGGACUUUUGGUGGAGGAACCAGACUGAAUGUUGGAAGUGAUGUCCGUCCCACCCUGACGGUGCUGCCCCCCUCCAGAGAGGAGCUGCUGAAGGGGAAGGCCACGCUCAUGUGCCUGGCCAACAAGGGCUUCCCCUCAGACUGGAGUCUGGCCUGGAAGGUGGACGGCAGCAGCAGCAGCAGCAGCAGCAGCUGGGAGGAGAGCAGGAGCCCCGGGGUGCUGGAGAAGGACGGCAAAUACAGCUGGAGCAGCACCCUGAGGCUCCCUGCAGACCAGUGGGAGAAGGUGGGCUCUGUGACCUGUGAGGCCACCCAGGGCUCCCAGACUCCACUCUCAGAGACACUGAGGAGAGACCAGUGUUCCCAGUCCUGACCU
Molecule: non-coding RNA, 469 nt
Organism: Sander lucioperca (pikeperch)
Lineage: Eukaryota; Metazoa; Chordata; Actinopteri; Perciformes; Percidae
Source: the annotation of a RefSeq genome assembly